AUACUUAUUUAUGUAAAUUCAUAGGUACAAAGCCGUAUACAUGUGCGGAGUUUGCGUAAUCGGAAGUAAUAAUCAAUUGUGCCGCAUUUCCUCUUACUAUGCAUAUGCCU
Long non-coding RNA from Rhagoletis zephyria (snowberry fruit fly), 110 nucleotides. RefSeq lists it as uncharacterized. NCBI's taxonomy places the organism in Eukaryota, Metazoa, Arthropoda, Insecta, Diptera, Tephritidae. The record is from RefSeq and is a predicted model, not a curated record.